Molecule: long non-coding RNA, 3331 nt
Organism: Helianthus annuus (common sunflower)
Lineage: Eukaryota; Viridiplantae; Streptophyta; Magnoliopsida; Asterales; Asteraceae
Exons: 3
Source: RefSeq, a predicted model, not a curated record
AUUUACAAACAUCUUUACUCAUAGAACAAAACCGAGUCACAUUAGUCAAUACCCACCUAAUUGAGUAUAAGAACAUACCCCCCUCAUUUCAUUUUACACACACACCCUCAAUCCUUCCUCUCUCCCUCUCGGUUGUAUAUCAGACCAACAAACCCCACACACACCCUUGUCUACAUAUUUAUCCUUCAAAAAGAAACCCACACAUAACCUGCUCUCAUCUCUCAAUCUAUACUAUAAUACACACACUUAUGCAAACACAGAGAAUCAAACACACAGACCCACAACACCCCCCUCUCUUCGAGCAGCAAGACGGACCACCACCACUGUUGGGUGGUGGUGAGAGGCGGCGGUGGGGCCAGACGACGAAGAAAGACAGAAGGAGAGAGAGAGCAGGGAAGGUGAGAGAGACAAGUGAGAGAUGGAGACGGCGGAAGUCGCCGGCAGGCCACACCCAUGGCAGACAUGGGUUAUCGACCAUGAUCUCACGACGGUUCGAGCAUGAGAUGGAGACCGAGACGAGAGAGAAACAGAGGAAGAAAACGGAGUCGGCGAGGUGCUAAUGACCGGAAACGCCGCUCACGGCGGCGGUGAGCCUCACCGGUAAAAACCCCCUUUCCUGUUUCAUUCAUCUUUUAUUUCAGAACAUUUAUGUUGAUUGGUGUCGCUGUUAUGUUGUUGAUGAUGAUUCGGCAAUGGUGGUGGUCGACGACUGCUCUGCGCGGUCGGAGCCACACCGACGCCGGAGACACCAGGUGGUGGUGUCACGUGGUUUAGCGACGAUAGUGGAGGAAACCGGCAGAGCCGGUGUCGUUUUUCUGAGCGGCGAUAGCUUCUGCCGACGCAUAUUUUCCGGCAACAGAUUCUCCGGCGCCGCUCGGAUUUGCUAUUUUCCGGUGAGCUCUUUAUUAUCAUACUUCUUUUAUGAUUCUUUCCUUUUCUUUUCCGACGAUGAUAUUGUUGCUGUUGAUAACGAGGAUGAUGGUGAUACGAUGACGGAGGUGCGGCUCCGGUGGGUGUCACGACUGUGGUAAUGUUGUUUCAGGUGGUGGAGAUUAUGCUCAGUGACUAUGUUUUGGUUUAGAGAGGUUCUAGUCAAAACUAUGGUUUGGGUGUUUCAAGCAACGUCUAGGGUUCGGGCCAGUUCAUUGUUCGGGUCGUGACAGAAUCUCGGGUUCGGGCAUCGGGUCGACUCGGUCAAACCGAGUCAACUCAGUCAACCCUGGUCAACAUAGUGAGUCAACUCAGUUGACCCGGUCAACUCAGUCAAAUGGUUCGAUGUUUCGACACGCGAAGACUCGGAAUACUGUAGAAUGCACGCUAGCAAGUCGAGCCUUGGAAACGACAUCAAGAAGUCGUAAAUUAGCUAGCUUUGCACAGGAAUAUUCAGGUGAGUUCAUAACCCCACAUUUUUACAAUUUUAUAAAUGUUUUCGGGGUGGAAAGACAUGCACUUUUUGCAAAGCAUACAAAAAUUAUAUAUUUUUAAACCAUGUUACAAAGAACACAAAUGGUUUACGAAAAGCUUAUGAUUUAUACCGGUUUUCCAAACAAGCGUAUUUUUUUGAAAAUACAAAUACAAGAGUUUAAAAAUACAUGAGUUAUGGUAUGAAAAUAUAAAAAGCACACUUGGUGAGAACGAGUACCAAGUGUGUAGCGAUAUAAGAAUACAAGAAACACACUUGGUGAGAAACGAGUACCAAGUGUAGGUGACAUAAGAAUACGGGAAGCGCGCUUGGUGAGAAACGAGAACCAAGUAGGAUGCGCUAUGAAAAAUGAUGCGAGAAAUCGUGUCACGAAUAGGGUACAGAAGCACCAUUAAUCAACAAUAUACCUAGACCGCAGAACAAAAGGUUAGAUCUAACGGGUGCCGGGCAGCCACACUCUCGGUGAGGGCGAGUAUCGAGUAGUGCUUUUGUGUCUCAGAAUAUACCAAUUAAAUGCCUAAGGUUUGGUGACUUCCUAUGUCGUGCCACAUGUUAAUGGCCUUGCAACCCAUUAACAAUCCUGAUAUUUACAGGAAUACUUUAAUUACAUGAAAUUCAUACCAUACUAAAACUUGAUUAAUACUUGAAGUACGUGGGGUACUCAAGAAGAUUAGAAUUAUACAUAAAGUACUUGGUGUACACAUGAAUACUUGAAUUAUACAUGAAAACUUGAUUUAUACGUGACACAAAGUAUGUUUUCAUUCAGAGUUUCAAGUAACUCGAUAAGAAAAUGAUUUUAAAUACAUUUUCUCAACAAAACAUCAAAAACCGGUUAUUCAAAAAGAUUUAUUUCAAAUCUUUUACAAACAAACAAUGAACUCGCUCAACUUUAUGUUGAUUUUUCGCAUGUUUCUUUCUCAGGUUGCAUUUCUAAGACAAGGCACGGUUGGAAUAGGGGAACCAUGAAGAGUCGAGUACUUAGUGGGCGUUCAACUUCUAAAAGACUUAGAUUGUUUGCUUCCGCUGUGCAAUGAAGAUACCAGUCCAGUCACGCCAAUGCUCUGAUAAAUUUCGGGGUGUGACACCCUUGUGCUUCCUCUCCCUCUCCGACUGAACUUCGAUGACCGGAGUAUAAUCUGCUAACCGACAGGAUAUCCGACGAGAACAGAAAGGGAAACACAUAGAAAGAGAUCGAUUAGAGAGGGAUGGAGGCGUCGGAGGCGGACCGCUGCCGCACACGGCGACGGCAGUGUAGACGAACGACGGAGGGGGCACGGGUGUUCUGACCAACGAGUAUCACCGGUAAAGAAUCGACGGAGUCGUCACUCCGACGCGGCGACGGGAGUCGUUUGUUGUCUCUUUCCAUUCAAUCUCAGUUCAACAGGUGCAGAUCCGGGGUAUGCUUGGUUCGCGGUUCGGGUUACCGAUCUCCGGUGACGGCGACGCCGACAACGGUGAGGUAGUGGUGAUGUUUGGGUUGUUUUUAGACGUGGCUCGGGUUCGGUCAAACCCGGUGUAACUCAGGUUCGGUCUCGGGUCAGCCGGAGUCAUCUCGGAGAAACCCGAGCUCGCCGGGGUUAACGCAACUUGUGGGAGCUUACUUACCGGAGAAUCCAGGCAGAGAUAUACGAGGAUCGACACGGCUCGUGUUCGGGUAAUCAUUUCCCAUUCGUCGUUUUGGAAAUUUCUCCAAAUCCUUACUCGUGUGUUCCUUACUCGUGUGUUAUCUCAAGGAAACUCCAUACACAACCACUGAUUGUGACAGAUGAAUCCAGUAGGAUUGCCUAGAAACGCACUUAAACGUUAUUGCUCGUUGUAUUGUAAUUUACUUUCAAUCCUGUUGUAUUCUGAUUCCAAUACUUGUCAUAAUUCAUUAUUAAUGAAAUGAAAUAUAAUUAUUUUAAUACA